RNAcentral lists this unclassified non-coding RNA (367 nucleotides) under Glomeromycotina sp. RNAcentral describes it as "partial contains small subunit ribosomal RNA, internal transcribed spacer 1, and 5.8S ribosomal RNA". The stretch from base 1 to 47 matches the Rfam family "Eukaryotic small subunit ribosomal RNA", at positions 1785 to 1831 of the family's 1831-position model. Lineage: Eukaryota; Fungi; Glomeromycota. The record is from RNAcentral.
AAAGUCGUAACAAGGUAUCCGUAGGUGAACCUGCGGAUGGAUCAUUAUCGUAUCCAAUACUACCUAUCUACCAAAAUCGUGAACCGUUUGCCUUUUAUACAACAUUCUGCCAAUUGAAUGCCUCUCUGGGCAUUUGAUCGCUCUCUUGGAAUUGAAAGGGUGAGACUCGUCAAGGGUCGGCUCGUUGUAUGAAAGUGUAUACUUCUCUUCAAUUCUAUUCUACUAUUAACCAAUUGAACCAUUUCUUAAAAAAAUGUUUUUCUUUGUAUUGAACUGAAUUGUUUCUUACUCGUCUUCGCAAGAAGUGAGAAGAAAUCGAUUUACGAAAUAAAAAGAACAACUCUUAGCAACGGAUAUCUUGGUUCUC